AGGGCUCCAAGGGAGAGCCACCAACAGGAGGAAUCGGCAGGAAGUUAACAGGGUGCUCAGCAGCAAUAACAGUUUAGAGAGAGGCAAUUUUCAAAGACAACAAGUCAACAAUUAGAAAAAUUGUGGAAAUUUUAUGGAAAUGCUGAAGCAUGCCUUGAGAAUCCCCAGACAUCACCAGGGAGCAUUUGAGAAGAAUUUUAGAUAGAGGCUAUCAAGCCAAUCUACACACGAAUGACGCACCAAUAUCAAGAAAAGGGGGAGAAUAUAUUUGCCUCCAGGCUCUGACUCUUCCAAGAUAAGUUAUACUUCGCUUUUAUUAUUUAGGAAGACAAGAACAGAAGCAUAUGAGAAAGAGUGACAAAAGAAGCCACAGUCCAACAUGCAUGGAAGAUGAGAGCUACAAAGGUGUCAGUAUAUCUCUACAGGACUAGUGCCCCUCGAGGCUGAUUGUCGGAAAUCUGUUAUGGCACCUGCUACAAGAACACAGGAAAAAAAAGACUUCCUGAAUGAAUAAAUGAAUCAAAAAUCUUCUAUUUUCCUCUACAGCACUUCUGUCUUUCAGCUACUCACAGAGGUCCAGGAAUCAUCAUUAAUAAUCAUUAAUCAUCAUUAAUACAUAUAAGGCUGUAUAAAGUGUCCAAGGAAUCGUUAUCUUUUAAAAACUGGAAGCUGCUCUGCUCCAUCCAAUCUGAGGGGAAAUGAUCUGGUGAGAGGCAUGGGCGAUACUGAGAAAGAACU
RNAcentral lists this long non-coding RNA (738 nucleotides) under Equus caballus (horse). RNAcentral's name for it is "lncRNA (ENSECAG00000045501.1)". Lineage: Eukaryota; Metazoa; Chordata; Mammalia; Perissodactyla; Equidae. The record is from RNAcentral.